This 938-nucleotide long non-coding RNA is filed under the name Homo sapiens (human). RNAcentral's name for it is "HSALNT0253411". The record is from RNAcentral. Lineage: Eukaryota; Metazoa; Chordata; Mammalia; Primates; Hominidae.
CAAAGAUUUGAAAGCCAGAGUUAUUGCUGAUCUCCUCUUUCUGCUUCAUUAGGCCUGCCUUUCCCGGUAACCUGUUCCUCAAAUAAUAUUUCUCCCAACUGUGACACCAACUAGAUGUCAAAACCUCAGUGAUAUCCGUUGAUGUCAAAACAUCAAUUUAUGUCAAAUAUAAUUUAACCUAAAGCCGUUUCCUUUAUUAGAAUGAUAAUGUCAUUUAUCAUAUGUCUUUUCUUUCACUUUCCCUGAUUUUAGUUAUUAAAACAACACCCCACUUCAAUGUGCUCAUUUGUAAAAUAGCAAUGCCAUUACUAACUUGUGUCUGUUACAGAGAGUAUCCUACAAAGAUGGUCUCAAAGUACUUUGAGAUGAACAGAAUGUUCUAUAAAUGGGUAUUGAAAAUAAUCAAGACAUUCAUGGAUCCAAACAGGCCACAGAAAUACCAUAGCAACAAAUGAACAAUAAUUGCUGCAUUAUGGGCUCUUUCCCCAGCUGCACUCAUGCAAUCAAAGCUCUGCUGCGUCUUCAGAGGAGCCCAGGUCAGAUCUGGCUGCCAUCACCCAUGAGGAAGACGUGCGGAGCCAGACAGGUGCCUGGAGGAAAGGUGGGUGUGUGCUGUCCUGCCCCAUCCUCUCUGUUUCCCUCCCACGUGUUUGCAGAGACGUCCUCAGCAUGGAACCAGGGCCCUUGACAGAGACAUUGUCAUUCUGGACACCCCACACCCAAGCCAGUUCAUCCAAGUCACCCGAUAAAAUUGUGCUCUGAAGAAACUGCCUGUUUCAGCAAACUCCUUACCUUACUGGACGCAUAGCGAUGGCCAGCACAGGAUGAGGCCAUGGGAGGAUCUUAAUGACACAGUCCACUCUGCAAACCAAGGUCAACAAGGCAGCAGUGUUCUCAGUUUCCAUCACGGGUCAGAUGCAGCUCCAACAUCACGUCCU